Neodiprion fabricii is the source of this 280-nucleotide long non-coding RNA. RefSeq lists it as uncharacterized. The transcript is spliced from 3 exons. The record is from RefSeq and is a predicted model, not a curated record. NCBI's taxonomy places the organism in Eukaryota, Metazoa, Arthropoda, Insecta, Hymenoptera, Diprionidae.
AGGGUGCUUCGUUUGAGACGACUAUUUUUUUUUUUUCGCUCCAUAGACGAAAUAUCACUCUAAACAUAUAAAAAAAAAAUUCCCACCAAAGCCUAGCUCUUAAUUUUAAUUUCAAGUACUCGAUAAAUGAAUUUGAAAUUUUCCCAUUUAAUUAACACGUAGAAAUAAUUUUUUUUUUUUUCAAUUAUCUAUAGCAUCGCGAGUUUUCAUACUAUUUAAUUGAUCAUGGCCGGAAGUUUUAGAGGGAUCCUUCCUCUUUAAAAGAGAUCUGAAGAGCACA